Molecule: non-coding RNA, 45 nt
Filed under: Schistosoma mansoni
Lineage: Eukaryota; Metazoa; Platyhelminthes; Trematoda; Strigeidida; Schistosomatidae
Source: RNAcentral
AUCCAGUUGACGAGUCUCAAAUAGGACGAAAUGCGCGUCCUGGAU